AUGUCUAAGUCAUAGAGUCUGUAUUAAGGUUUGAAAAAUGUAAUUUUUGUUUAUUGGAUCGAUCAUGCAGGAGAUUGUCGUUUGGUGAUUGCGAUGAUCUUCUUUUUAUUGCUUCUGAGUUGUGUACGAGCUUUAUAAUGUUCUUUUGUCACGAAAUCGCUAAAGGGGGAGAUUGUUAAGGAUUUUAUAGGUUGGCGGAUUUCGUAAAGUUGAAUGGAGUCUUGAAGGGUUGAUCGCGGAAGUUUUUGAAGAAAAGAUUCAAAUUGAAGAACAAAAAUUCAUUCGUAAAGUUCGGCACCUAAGGUAUGAAGAAAAGAUCAUUUGUAGUGAAGAUACUUAAUUAGAAUAUGUUCAGAAGA
RNAcentral lists this long non-coding RNA (359 nucleotides) under Ananas comosus (pineapple). Its description in RNAcentral is "long non-coding RNA (ACOM_LNC039746)". Lineage: Eukaryota; Viridiplantae; Streptophyta; Magnoliopsida; Poales; Bromeliaceae. The record is from RNAcentral.